Molecule: non-coding RNA, 5860 nt
Organism: Nomia melanderi (Alkali bee)
Lineage: Eukaryota; Metazoa; Arthropoda; Insecta; Hymenoptera; Halictidae
Source: RefSeq, a predicted model, not a curated record
GAUCACCAGUGGAGUACGCUCACUUUUGGUCGAACGUUUCGGUCUCACGUGAAAGACGUCGCUCCAGAUUGAACGGUUGUACGCACAGUUUUCGGUGUUAUCGUUGUCGACGGUGUUCCGAGAGUUCCGUUCGUCGGACGGUUUCGAUUCGAGGAAAAUUUAUCCCCGAAAGUCCGAUGAGUUGGCGGACUAGAUUCCCGGUACGGAAUAAGUCAUCGACGCCAACCCGUCCCAGUCUUCGGCGUAAUGAACUAGGCGGUGUAGACCGCAGGCAGGAACUAGAGGCGAUCUGGAGCUGACUUUCGGCUGAAACCGGUUCUCCUGCCGUCUUUCGUGCGCACGUCCUCCGUACACGGCACGUCACAACGCAUCGUAUCCUUUAACGGGACGAACACCGGGAUUUCGUGAAUUCGGGGCGUGUAAUCGCAAUUGUCAACACCCGUCGGCCGAUCGAUAUCGAUUCACGGAACGCAUGUAACGGUAUCGCGCCGCGGGUUUCUUCAAAUAAUCGAUUUUGCGCCUUAUUCCUGUACACGACCGAACGAAACUGAAAUUCACCCGACUGCCGCGGAUUAUCUCGGUAAUGAAUUACUAUUUCCGAGUAAUCUUUUUCACCGUACCGAUAAGAUUACACGCUGUGUGCCAACAUUGAAUUCGCAAACCGAAAUGGAACUGUCUGUACACCAGGCUAAGAUAAAUCGCAUUAACGGAGGAUAUUAACGGAAUCAUCGUGCUCGCUGCGUGCGUAAUCCAGGAAUGAUUGUGAGAACGGAAGCGUGCGCGGGGAUAACGGCUGGAGACAAUCAACGAUGACCAUCAGCGGCCUUGCAUUCAGCGAAUAAUUAAUUUACAAUUAACAUGGACGCUCGAUUCGUCGGCUGUUCGAGAACUCGCGGAUCGUUUCCGAUGGGAACCGCCGGGACGCGGACGCUGGGAUCGCCGUAAGGAUUCGACGUCUGAGCAGACAUCGUGCUCGGCGGGAAUAGGAGCAAUGGGAUCACCGGUCGAAUUCCGGGCAAUCGUGCUAAUUAACAAAUUCAAAUCAUUAAAGAAGCCGGCUGCGAGCACUAGAAAGAUGACGAUGAACCCAGCCGGUGGUCCAGGGACCCCGGAAGAGUACCAAUGGAAGAGGUGACGUAUCACCCAGUGAUGCGUAAACGACGUGGAUUGGCCAGCGCCGUUCUGGGCCUGAUAAUGGGCCUUCUCCUAGGUAUCCUGAUUCAAAGCUUCCGAUUGCUGUCCUCGAAUCAACAGCCAAGAUCCAACGCGUAUUACUCCUCGAUGCCGGGAGCACGUGUCCUGCUGAGGCCGUCGUCGACCAGUAACAUUCCCAGGCUGAACGACGACGAGCAGAUAAACAGUUCGUCGACGAGCCUGGUCUUCGUGGGUGUCAUGACAGCUUCUAAGUACCUAGACACCAGGGCGAAAGCCGUGUACGAGACCUGGGGUAAGGAGCUUCCAGGUAAAAUCGCUUUCUUCUCGUCGGAAAGUUCCACUGUGCCAACGAACUGUCCCGAGCUGCCGUUGGUCGCUCUGCCGCGCGUUGACGACACCUAUCCGCCGCAGAAGAAAUCGUUCAUGAUGCUCCAGUACAUGUGGAACAAUUACGGCGACCGUUUCGAGUGGUUCCUCAGGGCCGACGACGACGUUUACGUGAGGACCGACCGUUUGGAGAAACUCCUCAGGUCCGUCAACUCCAAAAGAGCCAUGUACAUCGGCCAGGCGGGCAGAGGGAACUCCGAGGAAUUCGGCCUGCUGUCCUUGGAGUACGACGAGAACUUCUGCAUGGGUGGACCGGGUGUAAUCCUCUCGAGGGAGACCUUGAGGAGGAUCGUGCCGCACAUCAAGUACUGCCUGAGACAUUUGUACACCGCGCACGAGGACGUCGAGCUGGGAAGGUGCGUGCAGAGGUACGCCGGCAUCCCGUGCACCUGGAGCUACGAGAUGCAGUCCAUUCUAUACCACAACAGCAGCGGCGCGCAGGCGUUCACCGGAAACCUGAAGAAAAAAGAAGUCCACCGAGCUAUUACUUUGCAUCCUGUCAAAAGCCCGCCGCACAUGUACAGGCUGCACAAUUACAUGAGGGCUCUUCGGAUACAAGAUCUGCAACAGGAGAGGCUGAACCUGCACAGGGACAUAUACGCGAUGGCGAAGCAGCUGGAUAUCGGCGUCGAGAAUUUAAAGGGUUUCGAGAUUGCCGACGGCGUGCCGCUGUUUCCGGUUGAUCCUCACUCGUCGGAGUAUCCGGGGGACACGGAAAUACUGGGUGUUCCAGCGGGGCUGCAAUCGUUCAAACCGACGACCAGCGACGAUGUAAUUCCCUGGGAUUUCCUCUCAAGGUCAGAGUACAGUUUAGCGGACUCGAAUCCGAGGCGGAGGAUUCACAGCGAUAUAAAAGAAGGCCUGGAGGAUAUCACGCGUGAAGUAAUGGCCUCCAUAAACGCCUUUUCGCGACAGCGCGGCCGAGUCGUUGAGGAAAGGUCAGCCCUGUACGGUUACAGACGGGUGGAUUCCUACGGCGCCGACACGAUUCUCGAUCUUCUGCUGGUAUACCGGAAGUACAGGGGCAGAAAGGUUACGCUGCCAGUUAGAAGACACGUUUAUCUGCAUCAGCACUUCACCGGACUGGAAAUACGGGAAACAGUGAACGGGGAAGAGGUGAACGAGGCUCGAAGAUACCCGGAGAACGACAAAUCGCUGCAAAACAUAUUCCGCGGCGGUUUUCUGAACUUGAAUUUCAACUCCGAGGAGGAGGAUCCGGUCAGGAGCAAGACUAUUUAUUUCGUUCUACCUCUGGCCGGCAGGCACGAGGUUUUCCAAAGGUUCCUACAAAACUACGAAGAGAUCUGCCUCACCAGCGACGAGAGGACGGCCCUGCUGGUCGUCCUCUAUCGCCACAAAACCGAGGACUCCUACAACAGAACGAUAGAUCUGAUCGAGCAGUUCAAGUACAAGUAUCGUAGCGCCAGUAUCGACAUACUACCGGCGUCCGGCACGUUCUCCAGAGCGGUGGCCCUCGACCUAGGCGCGUCGAAGCUGAAUCACGACGAUCUGAUGUUCUUCGUCGACGUCGACAUCGUGUUCACCGCGUCCGCGCUCCAUCGGAUUCGAGCGAACACUCUUCUCAACAGGCAGAUCUAUUUCCCGGUGGUAUUCAGUCAGUUCGAUCCGAAGGUCGUGCACGCGGAUGGGAAGAGGCACGAGACGUUCGCCAUCGAUGAGAUCUCCGGUUACUGGCGGCAGUUCGGCUUCGGGAUCGUCUCGUUGUACAAACAGGACUAUAGAACUGUCGGUGGUUUCGACUUGUCUAUUCAAGGAUGGGGGAAGGAGGACGUGGACUUCUUUGAGAAGGUCGUCAAGUCCAAUCUCAGGAUCUUCAGGGCAGCUGACAAGGGUCUGGUGCACGUGUACCACGACGUGGAGUGCAGCAAGGAUCUCUCCGACGUGCAGCUGUCCAUGUGCAUGGGGACCAAAGCCGACACGUACGCUGGAAUGGAAACGCUGGCCGGAAUGAUCUACGGCAAUCCGGAGAUCCUGCGGUUCGCCAAAGCUAAAAGAGCGAAUUUAACGAGUUCUGCCGGUUGAGGAUAGAGUCUGUUAACGACGGGCACCGCCUCGGUUGUUAAGGAAGGAAUCACAGUUGCAAUUACGCAACGCCGAAACGUUUCGUAACUAGAACAUUUUGUACAUACGCGAUACGAUUAAUGAUAGUUCUUUGGUUUACGAGUACCGGAUAUUUCAUACCGACAUGAAUUCACCAAAGCCAUCGCCGUUCUACGUUUAAGUCCGCCAUUACGCUGGUAAUGGAAGCUUGCUGUAUCGGUAAAACAGAACGCAAACCCGAGAUUUAAUUUAAUUACUAUCGUAGUGUGUGUCCCGUUGAAAUGUAACGCGUGAAUGUGAACGUUUGCGCCCGAGGCGUUAAACGAAGUUGAUUUAAAGAUUCCGGCAUUAUUCACCGUAGGAAUGCGGCGCACCUCUUUCUGACUACUCCUAACGCCGAAUGCAUUCUCUUCUGACAAUGGGAAGUGCAUUAUUAUUUUUUAUAAAUUGUAGAUAUAUACAUACAUAUAUAUAUAUAUACAUAUACGUGUCCGUUUCUCUAGCGACAUCUCGGAUCGUAAAAAUGGUACAAAAGUUACUAGAGUUCUCGUGGGACAGGUGAACCGUGAAUGAUUGAUCCGAGACAGUUCCUGAGAUGCCAAUACUCCUAAGAACGUUCUGCUGAAUCAGUUGUGGGGUCGUGCGUGGCCAGAAACUGUAUGAAUCGGACGAGCCGAUUGCACAACCUGGGAUCUGCCCGUCUCGGUGUCUGCGGUGAAGGAGAUCGGCUCGGGAAUGACCGCACCGUUAUGAUACUCCUAUUUCCGUUCGGAUUCACGGUUCAAGCGCCGUGAGUAAACGUAGAAGGAAUUUUUUAUCAAACCGUGACCGUGCAAAUUAAAUUCUCGUAUAGAAAAUUGAUUGAGUUUUAGAGGGAAAGUCAACCUUGUACAAAGACCCUGAGCGUUAAGAGUAAUCGAACAUUGUAAUGGAAGUAUCGUUGAAAUGCGACGAGAGUUAUGGCUUCUGUUUAGAAAACAAUUAAUUUGGAAAGGAAAAUACCGUGCAGAAUGUAGAUGCAUCGCGGUUUGGCACGUCCAUCGAUUGCACGGAGAUGCUUCUACCCCGGGAAAGCGAGGAAGGGGAGAAAGUUACGGCAAAAUCAUCGGCUUCCCGUCUGAGCACCAUUACCUCCUCCCUAAACACACAAAGAGGAAGAGAAGUUACAGGCUACACCUUCCAGCCGAUGCCGAUGAUAAUUUACGGUCUGGCUGCCGAUUGAUUUAUGAUUCAGCGUCCAUUCAGCAGAACAAUUGGGCGCUUAAGAAUUACAUAGUUCAAACGGAAGUUGAAUGGGCACGUGGGUCUAAUAGGUCUCGACGUAUUCAAACGAUUAAAUGUUAAUCAAGGAUUGUUCUUAAUGGAAAAUACUAGUAAAUGGCUUGGCACUGUUAAAGAAAACAAGAGAAUUUGCGAUGUUGGUCAAUUACGGAAAUGGUUCGUGAUGUGAAACUCUGUUGGGUGGCUAGAGUAAACGGAAAAUUAAGAGAAAUAAGGAUAUAAAAGGGAUUUCCUUAUAAAGCUAGAAAAUGAUUGAAAAAUUAUAGGAAGAUAUUAUUAGAAAUUGAUCCCUAUUCUUUAAUAAAUGGAAUACUUCCGAUUUUCUUGUAAAGGUACAAAUAAUUGAAUUUAAUAAUGCUGUUUAUAUACAUUAUGAGUUUUGGCUUCUCACAGCACCCAGUUUUUUUUAUUUACAUCAACAAUCAUCCCAAUACCAGUUUCAUGACCAUCACUAUGAUAUUUAGUAAUAUUAAUGGAACUGAAACAAAGAAAAAUAGAUUGUAUGUAUAAAUGUUAAAGAAUAUAAUAGUAAGCAUUAUAAUCAUUAUAGAAAAUAUUUAAACUUACCCCUUGCCACUGUUCUUAUAGAUCUAACUAAGUUUAGCAUUUGUGCUUUUACUGUAGGUCUCUCACCAAAUCCUUGAACAUUCUGCCAUGAUGCCCAACCAACUAAAAAAUUUAAAAGUUUUAUUAAAUGUGCAACAUUUUAUUCUAACAUAAAGAAAACAACAAGUAAUGGUACUUUGGCAUGAAGCCAACACAACAAAAUUCUAUAACCUAUGGCCGCUGUCAGCGGAAUAUUAUCAUUCAACUUUUUAUGUAAAUCGAUAGCAAAUCUAAUGAGAAUAUUUAAGAAAAUCACCUUUAGCGAGAAACCUCUCUUCAUUUAAAACGCAAACGGCGUUUAAACAGAGCAAAGUUGCCUCAAAAAGUGUCCACAAGGUAAACGCCAUGUUUACGGUAUUGAAGUGAGCGU